Molecule: long non-coding RNA, 1622 nt
Organism: Bubalus bubalis (water buffalo)
Lineage: Eukaryota; Metazoa; Chordata; Mammalia; Artiodactyla; Bovidae
Exons: 4
Source: RefSeq, a predicted model, not a curated record
GGGGAGGCCAGACCACGGCUGGACGCCUGGAUGUUUCCACAGACCCAACUCUGGAGCAGUCCAGGGGAGGCUGGAGGCUGAGCCCGGCAGGAUCCCGCAUCUCUGUGAUGCAGUGGCAGCAGAGGGCGACAGGAUAAGGACCAAGAUGCUGGCUUCAUCUUCCUUAUGGCCCUAAACUACCAUCUGAAAGUGCACAGAAAGUAUAAAUGGAUUUCACUGAGAGAAGAACCCCCAGAUACUGAAAAUAUACACAGUUGAUGCAGAGCUUCUUUAACUAUUGGUCUGGAACCCAACCUACAGUAUCUUUGAGCUGUGCCUGUAUAAGCAACACAGAGCCAGGAAAGAAGGUGCAAACCAUGAACUGGAAGUGAGGCAGUAAGUCAGGGGCCAGAGGAGCAAGUAGACCAGUCAAUGCAGAUAAACGGGUGCAUGGAAAGGAAAAGGCCAGCCUCCCGCGGAGGCAUGCUGCAAGACUUCCAAGGGGAAGAGCAGAGAAAGGAGGAAACCUGCCCAACUCAUUUUAGGAACUAAUGAAACCUUGAGUCUGAAACCAGUAUGGAUAGCACAGGAAAAAUGUACAGAUCUAUUUAACCUAUGAACAUAUAGGGGAAAAUCCUAUAUAAAUUACUUUCUAAGUGAAUCUAAUUUUGUGUUAAAAAACACAACCCUACUGCAGUUUAUCCCAGGAAUGCAAGAAUGGUUUACUAUCAAAAAACCUAUCUUAAAAGAGAAAACAGAAGAAAAGGGAAGAAAAGAAAACCUAUGAAUGCAAAAGGUAUUUCAUGAAGUUUAGUAUUUAGUUAUGCUCAAAUAAUAAUAGUUUCAGUAGUCAGGAAGAGAAAGGAACUCUUUUAAUCUGAUAGACUUUAUACCAAAAAAUUAAGGUCAACAUGGUAGUGGAUGAAGAAACCUCACAAGCUAUCAGUUCCUUUAAGGUCUUGAACAAAAUAAAGUUAUUAUGAUCUCUGAUUCUAUUUAACCUGUUAUUGGAUGGCCUCAACAAUAAAAAUUUCUAAAUAGAAGACAAAAAGAGAAAAGAUUGUAAGAUGUGGUGAUUUAAAUAUGUCCAUAAAUUCUAACAGUAUUUUCUAAAAGUGGAACCUAAUUUCUCUCCCCUUGAUCUUGGGCUGGACUUAGUGAAUUGCUUCUAACAAAUAGAAUAAAAUGAAGUAAUGCUGUGUGAUUUUCAAUACCAGACCAGAUUCCUCGAUCACUGACCUCAGAUAUUGUAUGAUACUAAAUAUCUGUUGUCUUUAACUGCUACGUUGGGACAAUUUGUUUGCUGCAAUUGAUGACCGAUACAAACAAGCAUUGGAAUACAAUAUAUUAAAUCAUCCUUCUUUGCUGACAACAGAAUCAUCUAUGUAGAAAAUCCAACAAAGUAUUAAAAUUAGUGAGAGGUUAGCAAACUUGCCUUAACACAAAAUCACAUGGAUUAACACAAAAAUCCAUAGCGUUCUCUUCCAGCAACACCCAAAUAAAGUAUCAUUCACAAUAGUGGCAAAACUGUAGUGCGUCUGGGAGUCAACUUUACAGUGAAUGUACAAGACAUUGUUAUGGAAAAAUAUUAACAUUCUAUUAAAAGACAUAAGAAGAUUGAAUAAAUGGAAAUAUAUACUACA